UGUUUGAUGUUCUAACGUUGGCCCCUGAUCGGGGUUGCGGACAGUGUCUGGUGGGUAGUUUGACUGGGGCGGUCUCCUCCUAAAGAGUAACGGAGGAGCACGAAGGUUGGCUAAUCCUGGUCGGACAUCAGGAGGUUAGUGCAAUGGCAUAAGCCAGCUUGACUGCGAGCGUGACGGCGCGAGCAGGUGCGAAAGCAGGUCAUAGUGAUCCGGUGGUUCUGAAUGGAAGGGCCAUCGCUCAACGGAUAAAAGGUACUCCGGGGAUAACAGGCUGAUACCGCCCAAGAGUUCAUAUCGACGGCGGUGUUUGGCACCUCGAUGUCGGCUCAUCACAUCCUGGGGCUGAAGUAGGUCCCAAGGGUAUGGCUGUUCGCCAUUUAAAGUGGUACGCGAGCUGGGUUUAGAACGUCGUGAGACAGUUCGGUCCCUAUCUGCCGUGGGCGCUGGAGAACUGAGGGGGGCUGCUCCUAGUACGAGAGGACCGGAGUGGACGCAUCACUGGUGUUCGGGUUGUCAUGCCAAUGGCACUGCCCGGUAGCUAAAUGCGGAAGAGAUAAGUGCUGAAAGCAUCUAAGCACGAAACUUGCCCCGAGAUGAGUUCUCCCUGAGACUUAGAGUCUCCUGAAGGAACGUUGAAGACGACGACGUUGAUAGGCCGGGUGUGUAAGCGCAGCGAUGCGUUGAGCUAACCGGUACUAAUGAACCGUGAGGCUUAACCUUACAACGCCGAAG
This 732-nucleotide ribosomal RNA is filed under the name Escherichia coli. RNAcentral's name for it is "partial 23S ribosomal RNA". It matches the Rfam family "Bacterial large subunit ribosomal RNA", at positions 2211 to 2925 of the family's 2925-position model. The record is from RNAcentral. Lineage: Bacteria; Pseudomonadati; Pseudomonadota; Gammaproteobacteria; Enterobacterales; Enterobacteriaceae.